Non-coding RNA from Danionella cerebrum, 73 nucleotides. Lineage: Eukaryota; Metazoa; Chordata; Actinopteri; Cypriniformes; Danionidae. The record is from the annotation of a GenBank genome assembly.
UUUCUUGUGACUCUGUUGGUAAGGCGUUGCGCUAAUAACUCAAAGGUCAUGGGUUCAAAUACCAGGAAUAGAA